CCUACGGGUGGCUGCAGUGGGGAAUUUUGGACAAUGGGGGCAACCCUGAUCCAGCCAUGCCGCGUGCGGGAAGAAGGCCUUCGGGUUGUAAACCGCUUUCGGCCGGAACGAAAUCGCCGGGGAGAACAUCCCCGGUGGAUGACGGUACCGGAAGAAGAAGCACCGGCUAACUACGUGCCAGCAGCCGCGGUAAUACGUAGCGGAAGUGCGGUAAGCGGAAUGACCGGGCGCAAAGCGCUAGCAGGGGGGUGAAAUCCCCGGGCUUAACCUGGGAACUGCGUUUGUGACUGGCGGGCUGGAGUGCGGAAGAGGGAGGUGGAAUUCCACGUGUAGCAGUGAAAUGCGUAGAGAUGUGGAGGAACACCGAUGGCGAAGGCAGCCUCCUGGUCUAGCACUGACGCUCAUGCACGAAAGCGUGGGGAGCAAACAGGAUUAGAUACCCUAGUAGUC
RNAcentral lists this ribosomal RNA (450 nucleotides) under uncultured bacterium. RNAcentral describes it as "partial 16S ribosomal RNA". It matches the Rfam family "Bacterial small subunit ribosomal RNA", at positions 338 to 795 of the family's 1533-position model. The record is from RNAcentral.